UGUUCCCAUUCCGAACACAGAAGUUAAGCUCUCUAGUGCUGAUGGUACUUGGUGGGAAACUGCCUGGGAGAGUAGGACGUAGCCACGU
Molecule: ribosomal RNA, 88 nt
Filed under: Clostridioides difficile
Lineage: Bacteria; Bacillati; Bacillota; Clostridia; Peptostreptococcales; Peptostreptococcaceae
Source: RNAcentral